GCUUGCUAGUAUGUCGGCUAAGUGGCGGACGGGUGAGUAAUGUAUAGUUAAUCUGCCCUUCAGAGAGGGAUAACAGUUAGAAAUGACUGCUAAUACCUCAUACUCCUUUCUACUUAAUGUAGAUUGGGAAAUGUUUUUUCGCUGAAGGAUGAGACUAUAUGGUAUCAGGUAGUUGGUGGGGUAAGAGCCUACCAAGCCAAUGACGCCUAGCUGGUCUGAGAGGAUGAUCAGCCACACUGGAACUGAGACACGGUCCAGACUCCUACGGGAGGCAGCAGUGGGGAAUAUUGCACAAUGGGGGAAACCCUGAUGCAGCAACGCCGCGUGGAGGAUGACACAUUUCGGUGCGUAAACUCCUUUUAUAUAGGAAGAUAAUGACGGUACUAUAUGAAUAAGCACCGGCUAACUCCGUGC
Molecule: ribosomal RNA, 414 nt
Filed under: uncultured bacterium
Lineage: Bacteria
Description: bacterial SSU rRNA
Rfam family: Bacterial small subunit ribosomal RNA
Source: RNAcentral